GCAUGGCUGUCGUCAGCUCGUGUUGUGAAAUGUUGGGUUAAGUCCCGCAACGAGCGCAACCCUUAUCCUUUGUUGCCAGCGGUCCGGCCGGGAACUCAAAGGAGACUGCCAGUGAUAAACUGGAGGAAGGUGGGGAUGACGUCAAGUCAUCAUGGCCCUUACGACCAGGGCUACACACGUGCUACAAUGGCGCAUACAAAGAGAAGCGACCUCGCGAGAGCAAGCGGACCUCAUAAAGUGCGUCGUAGUCCGGAUUGGAGUCUGCAACUCGACUCCAUGAAGUCGGAAUCGCUAGUAAUCGUGGAUCAGAAUGCCACGGUGAAUACGUUCCCGGGCCUUGUACACACCGCCCGUCACACCAUGGGAGUGGGUUGCAAAAGAAGUAGGUAGCUUAACCUUCGGGAGGGCGCUUACCACUUUGUGAUUCAUGACUGGGGUGAAGUCGUAACAAGGUAACCGUAGGGGAACCUGC
Molecule: ribosomal RNA, 472 nt
Filed under: Escherichia coli
Lineage: Bacteria; Pseudomonadati; Pseudomonadota; Gammaproteobacteria; Enterobacterales; Enterobacteriaceae
Description: bacterial SSU rRNA
Rfam family: Bacterial small subunit ribosomal RNA
Source: RNAcentral